GAUGAAGAACGUAGCGAAAUGCGAUAAGUAAUGUGAAUUGCAGAAUUCAGUGAAUCAUCGAAUCUUUGAACGCACAUUGCGCCCUCUGGUAUUCCGGGGGGCAUGCCUGUCCGAGCGUCAUUACAACCCUCAAGCUCAGCUUGGUAUUGGGCCCCGCCGACCCGGCGGGCCCUAAAGUCAGUGGCGGUGCCGUCCGGCUCCGAGCGUAGUAAUUCUUCUCGCUCUGGAGGUCCGGUCGUGUGCUCGCCAGCAACCCCCAAUUUUUUUCAGGUUGACCUCGGAUCAGGUAGGGAUACCCGCUGAACUUAAGCAUAUCAAUAAGCGGAGGA
This 329-nucleotide unclassified non-coding RNA is filed under the name soil metagenome. RNAcentral describes it as "partial contains 5.8S ribosomal RNA, internal transcribed spacer 2, and large subunit ribosomal RNA". The stretch from base 1 to 120 matches the Rfam family "5.8S ribosomal RNA", at positions 35 to 154 of the family's 154-position model. The record is from RNAcentral.